CACGUAGGGCGCAAGCGUUGUCCGGAAUUAUUGGGCGUAAAGAGCUCGUAGGUGGUUUGUUACGUCUGCUGUGAAAACCUAGGGCUUAACCCUGGGCUUGCAGUGGAUACGGGCAGACUAGAGGUAGGUAGGGGAGAAUGGAAUUCCUGGUGUAGCGGUGAAAUGCGCAGAUAUCAGGAGGAACACCGGUGGCGAAGGCGGUUCUCUGGAACGCAACUGACGCUGAGACGCGAAAGCGUGGGGAGCAAACAGG
Molecule: ribosomal RNA, 253 nt
Filed under: uncultured bacterium
Lineage: Bacteria
Description: partial 16S ribosomal RNA
Rfam family: Bacterial small subunit ribosomal RNA
Source: RNAcentral